GACGAACGCUGGCGGCGUGCUUAACACAUGCAAGUGGAGCGACGAACCGGGGGCUUGCCCCGGGGCAGAGCCGCGAACGGGUGAGUAACACGUGGGUAACCCACCCCGAUGACCGGGACAACCCGAGGAAACUCGGGCUAAUACCGGAUGUGCUCCUUGACCUCGAGGUCAAGGCGUAAAGAUAGCUUCGGCCUUCGCAUCGGGACGGGCCCGCGGCCCAUUAGCUUGUUGGUGGGGUAACGGCCUACCAAGGCGACGANGGGUAGCUGGUCUGAGAGGACGAUCAGCCACACUGGGACUGAGACACGGCCCA
Molecule: ribosomal RNA, 313 nt
Filed under: uncultured bacterium
Lineage: Bacteria
Description: bacterial SSU rRNA
Rfam family: Bacterial small subunit ribosomal RNA
Source: RNAcentral